ACCUGGCCAGGGAGGGGAACACAGGCAGGGGCAUGAGUCCAGUGGCCGCCUCCGAGGACCCACCCAGCCCCACCCCAGCUCCCCCUGCUCCCCACCCUGGCCAUCUCCAGGCCACAUGGGAGCAGCACAAUAAUAAUAACUAUUCACAGGUAUAAGAGCAGCCCUCUGGGCUCUGGGAGCAGGAGCCGUGGUGACCAGCAGUGCCCAGGGAAGGACACAUGGCAGGACACCUGUGGGGCAGGUGGGCAGGGCGCUCCCAGGCCAAGGGCUCAGACUUCCUCCUGGGGAUGAUGGGAAGGAGAACCGCAUGGCCAGGUUUGUGCCUUAGUGAGGUCCCCGACAGGGAGCCUGGAAGGACUUCCUUCUUUUGGCCCUUUGGACCCAGAGGCUCCGCCUCCCAUACCCCGCCUCCCUCCCCAGGCUCUUGGAGCCCAGGCCUUGGUCCCUCUCCUGUGCUGCUCUCCAGACCUGUGAAUCCUGAUCCCCUCCCCACUUCUGCACUUAGGGUCUAACAGGGCACCGAGUUCCUCCCACCCUGACAUCACAGCCCUGCCUGGGAGGCCUCCUGGACGCCUCCUCUGCCCUUCUCCCUUUCCUGGGAGCAGUCCCCUAGGCUCAACCUCUGUGCUGCCUCGGACCACCUGCCCAGUCCAGCUGCCAUCACCUGCCAGGUGAUCACAGCAGCCCUCACUCAUACCCUGCUCCUCCACCUUCCACUGCCGACCCCCCUACCCGAGCCUCCUGCAGAAGCCAGAGAGAGGUCCUUCUGGAGGGUGAUGUGGACCAGAACACUGCUUUGCUAAAGACCUCCAACAGCCUCUUGGGUUACUUGGAAUAAAAUCCACCCUCCUUCCCAGGGACCCCCAGACUCUAGAGGAGGCGGCCCUGCCCACAUGGGCAUCACCUCCCUCCACCCUCUACCCUCCUCCCCCUCACUGCACCCAGUCCCUCCUCCCUGCUGGCCUGAACUUGCCAAGCUCACUCCUGUCUUAGGGCCUUGCACUUGCUCCUUCUGCUGAAACGUUUUUCCUCCAGCUGCUGAUGUGCCCUUCCUUGUGCAGAGAGAGGCCGGGCCCAGUUUCACUUCAUUGACAGGGCAGCUGCUCUGCUCUUCCUCACAGGAGGCUUCAGCUCCACGGUUGGUUUGCUUUAGACAAACCAACAAACCAGCAGCCUCCCCUAGAGUGCAGUGCCUGUCUGCUUGCUGCCCAGCAGGUUGUGAGCGCUCACUUUAGUUAAGUCCCUGAGGGGCAACAACAGGAGCAAGGGCAGAGGGGAUGGAGUCUGGGAGCCGCUGCACGUGUGCCUCCCACACAUGCAGCAGUGAGAACCACACAGCAUAAAGAGUGGCUGGGCCAGGCUGCCACACCUGUCCUUGUCACCCCUGAGCCUUUCUUUCCAAGGAGGCGGAUCCAGGUGUCCAGCAAACACCAUUUGACCACCUAGAAAGGAAGUGUUAUCACAGGCUCAGAGCCGCUUUUGGUAAUUCCUUUCCUCCCACAGGAAGGCAUUGCCUUUUAACAACCUUCUACGAGCAAACCAUAAGGCUAUGGAAUACCAGGAACUAAGAUUCUAGGUGGCGAUUGUCAUUUCAGAAACAAGGACCAGAGUCAGCACUUACCAGCCAGCCGAGGUCCUGGAAGCUGACGUAGAGCUCGUGCCGACGGCAGACCUGCCGGCCGUGGGAGCCGUGGACAUCAUCUGUAGGGACAGAAGGAGCAAGGUCUUUUCUGGGGUUCCUGCUCUGUGCAGCUGCUGCGGGUUACCAGGGUGGAGGACCCCCUGAUGAGCACAUUUGUCAAAUGAAUGACAGGAAACCA
Molecule: long non-coding RNA, 1820 nt
Organism: Sapajus apella (tufted capuchin)
Lineage: Eukaryota; Metazoa; Chordata; Mammalia; Primates; Cebidae
Exons: 2
Source: RefSeq, a predicted model, not a curated record